AAGGGGAGUUGUUGUUGUUAUCUUGAUCUUGCCUUGAAGAAUCCCCUUCGAAUCGAGGCCGACUCGUGGAAUCGGCCCGCUCGAUUUUCGAAUGGUCCCUGAACACAUUCUCCAAGGUAGCCUUGUAUUCGAACGCGUAUUUCAAGUAAUUCAUCGUGUAGCGAGUCAAGGGAUGUACGGCCCCUCCAGGUACCGGAGUCUUCCCGCGGUCGUUCUUGAUCGAGUUCUCUAAAUCGUUGAAUAUGUUGAUUGCAGCUUCUCCGAUUCUUCCCUUUACCGUUGCGGCUUCCGAUUUCAGCUCGUUUCCUGAUUCCUCAGGGAACAAACCCUCGAUUGCCGCAAAUCCGUCCCGCAGCGUCUCGUACAUAUCGAGGAACUUGAAGAGCUUCUCCGUGGAGCGCUUGGACAUGGCAACGCCUUCUGCGAAGUUGAGGAACUGGAUCAGGACUCCUCUCGCGAGGUUUGUGAAGAGAACGGAAGAGGACAAGGCCGACGAUGGUGAUGAUUCGUUGCCGGAGGGGAAAAUAGAAUGGACUAGUUUGUGCUCUUUGGGGAAAUGAAUGGUGGCGCAUUCCUUCAUGAUUGCUGUCAUGAUCGGGAUUUCCUUUUCCAAAUUCUCCCACGCCAUCUUAUGCAGCUCGUCGAUGCUAAUCUUCUCGAAUCCCGAUUGGACCAGGCAUUCGUCGAUUGCGUGUCGUCGGAUUAUCAUGUAGACCUGGCAGCACUCGGAUUCAUAUCCGGCGGUGAUCAUAGCUUCCCCAAUUUUCCUCAAAUUGGUCACCACUUCCUCCUCGUAACCAGGGUAAGGAGAUUCGUAUUGAUCCUCUUGAUCAUUUUUAGAUUCUGAUUCUGGCAGUGGGCUAUGAUAUUCCUCACCUCCUUCCGGAUUUCCGCCUUGAGCAGGCGAAUCAGGUUCGACCGGCUUCGACUGUUCUUCAAGGAGGUACCUGAACUCAUCCUCCAAGUAUACCAUCGCUUUGUGAUGGAUAAAUCCGAUUCGGUUGGCAAGUGGGGCGUGAACUGGAUCUGAUUUGAAGUAGCCGCUGAAGGAAGUUGUCAACCUGGUGAGGCGACUAACCAUCACCAGAAAUGCUGAGUCGUGAUCAGGGGAUUUACACCAUUUACCUCCUUUCCUAUCAUCUUGAUCAUCCGAGUCGCGUUCGGUUAUCUUCGCCUCGACGAGAUCCACGAACUUGUUGAUGAAUUCUGGCAUCUCAAUUGAAUAGAUCUUCUUCUCGCUCUCUGACUUCUUAUCCACAUCCUCCUCUUUCUUCUCAUUUUCAUUCUCCUUCUCAUGCUCAUUCUCAUUUUCCUUUUCAGGUUCGGAAUCUUCAGACUUCUUUUCUCCAUCUUUGAUUUCGUCACCUACAGCUUUCUCGCCCUGAUCAGUAAGAUCUUCAUUCUUAUUUUUAUCUCCAUCUCCUUUAUCAACAAUGACUUCUUGGUUUUGUUGGGCGGAUAUUUCUUGAUAGAAUUCUAUCAUUUUUUCGGGUAGAGAAGACAAAAAUUGAUCGAUGUUAGGGGAAAGCGUUUCCAGCGUUAUGUGGAUUUCUUCAGGAUGAGGAGGAGAGGAAAUGUCUUCGUUUUGUUCCGCCGGUUUGGAGUCAGGAUCUGUUUCGGAGU
This 1623-nucleotide long non-coding RNA is filed under the name Linum usitatissimum (flax). RNAcentral describes it as "long non-coding RNA (LUSI_LNC007133)". Lineage: Eukaryota; Viridiplantae; Streptophyta; Magnoliopsida; Malpighiales; Linaceae. The record is from RNAcentral.